Molecule: RNA transcript, 3900 nt
Organism: Eucalyptus grandis
Lineage: Eukaryota; Viridiplantae; Streptophyta; Magnoliopsida; Myrtales; Myrtaceae
Gene name: aluminum-activated malate transporter 9
Exons: 7
Source: RefSeq, a predicted model, not a curated record
GAGAGUCAGAGGCCACUCGAUUGCGAUAAUCAAACCACCUCCGUCGUCGCUUACGCUCCACUUUAACGUUGAAAGAGACAAAAUCCAUGCCGACAUCCCCCCACCCCCACCAGAUCUUUCCUGCGAUAAUUUAAACCAGAAAAGAGCUCUCUUUCUCUCUCUCUCUUGCCUCGCCCACUUGUAUCGGAAUCACCGCCCGGGGUGAUAGCAUGCGUGGCCGUUCUCUCUCGGUCCGCAUCCGUUUUGCUAAUCCUGGAGUGCCCUUUUGCGGUUCUCCUCUUUGGGAUCUUGUUCCUGUGAAUGAAGUGCAACCAAAGGAACUCUCUCUCUCUCUCUCUCUCUCUCGCGGGCACGCACCCGUUUUGUCCGAAUCACUGCCGGGGCGAUCGGGUCUCUGGCCGUUCUCUCUCGAUUUGCAUUCGUUUGGCCAAUCCUUGAAUACCCUUUUGCGGUUCUCCUCUUUGGGUUCUUGUUCCAGUGAAUGAAAGGCAACCAAAAGAGCUCUCUCUUUCUCUCUCUCUCGCACGCGCACACCCGUUUUGUCUGAAUCACUGCCCGGGCGAUUGUGUCUCUGGCCGUUCUCUCUCGAUUUGCAUUCGUUUGGCCAAUCCUUGAAUACCCUUUUGCGUUUCUCCUCUUUGGGUUCUUGUUCCAGCGAAUGAAGUGCAACCAAAAGAGCUCUCUUUCUCUCUCGCACACUGCUCGGGGUGAUCGCGUCUCUGGCCGUUCUCUCUCGAUUCGUUCGUUGCGCCAAUCCUUGAAUACCCUUUUCGUUUCUUCUCGUUGGGUUCUUGUUCCAGUGAAUGAAGUGCCACCCAUCUUGAAUACAGAGUCGAGUCCUCUGUUGGGUAGCCGUGUCUGGGAAGAUGGGGUCGCUGAAAGAGCGGCUGAUCUCGACCAGGGGCUACUCGGAGCUGGGUCUCUCCUACAUAGGGACGACCAACGACCGGAGCGGCUCCUGCUGCUCGUACCGCCGCGCCCGCGAGGCGGUCGCGAGGUGGUGGAAGAACUUGGAGCGGGUGGCCUCCAAGGCGUAUAACAUGGGCAAGUCCGAUCCGAGGAAGAUCGUGUUCUCGGCGAAGAUGGGGCUGGCUCUGACGCUCGUCUCGCUGUUGAUAUUCUGGAAAGCGCCCUUCAACUUCAAGGAUACGAGCCGAUACUCUGUUUGGGCGCUUCUCACGGUCAUCACCGUGUUCGAGUUCAGCAUAGGUGCUACUCUUAGCAAGGGAUUAAACCGGGGAAUAGGGACAUUAUCUGCAGGAGGGCUUGCUCUAGGCAUGGCAGAGUUGUCUCAGAUGGCUGGAGAUUGGGAAGAACUUGUUAUUAUCCUCAGUAUAUUCUUUAUAGGAUCUAUUGCAACUUAUGCAAAACUGUACCCAACAAUGAAGCCUUACGAAUACGGGUUUAGAGUUUUCUUGCUGACAUAUUCUCUUGUAAUGGUAUCCGGAUAUAGGACAAGGGAAUUUAUCCAUACAGCUGUUUCCCGCUUCUUCCUCAUUGCACUAGGUGCUGGUGUUGGCCUGGCAGUAAAUGUUUGCAUUUUUCCCAUCUGGGCUGGCGAGGACUUGCAUAAGUUAGUGGUUAAGAACUUCAUGGGGGUUGCAACAUCUUUGGAAGGUUGUGUUAAUGGGUACCUCAAUUGUAUUGAAUAUGAAAGGGUUCCCUCGAAAAUUCUUACUUAUCAGGCCUCUGAUGAUCCACUCUAUAAUGGUUAUAGAGCAGCUGUAGAAUCCACCAGCAAAGAAGAUGCUCUGUUGGGUUUUGCCAUCUGGGAGCCACCUCAUGGUCCAUACAGAGCAUUUAGGUAUCCCUGGAAGAACUAUGUUAAAGUAAGCGGUGCACUGAGGCAUUGUGCAUUCAUGGUCAUGGCGUUGCAUGGAUGCAUACUUGCUGAAAUCCAGGCGCCAGCUGAGAAAAGAGAGGUCUUUCGCAAUGAGCUGCAGCGGGUGGGUACCGCAGGUGCUAAGGUACUACGCGAACUUGGGAAUAAGGUAAAGAAGAUGGAAAAAUUAGGGCCUGUAGAAAUACUCUCUGAAGUGCACGAGGCUGCAGAAGAGUUGCAGAACAAAGUUGACCGGAGGUCGUACCUUUUAGUCAACUCAGAGAACUGGGAAAUUGGAAACCGAGCAAAAGACUGGGCAGAGCCUCAAGAUCUUCUUAACUUUGAUGAUGACGAGAAUAAGGUUUUACAGCAUAAGUCACAUAGUGAAACUGUACUAGAUCUCAGGCUGUUUUCUGCAACAAGAAGUCUGGACUCCGCGAAGCCAAACACGGGGUUGAAAGCCCCAGUUCCGGUAGUUAUUCCCGCAGAUGGUGCGAUGAUGAAACAGAUAUCAUGGCCUGCCGGAAUCUCGCUGAGAACUGAUUCUGUUGUUGAAGAAUCAAAAACAUAUGAAAGCGCAAGUGCUUUGUCUCUAGCAACUUUCACGUCGCUCCUCAUUGAGUUUGUUGCAAGGUUACAAUAUCUUGUGGAAGCUUUUGAAGAAUUAAGUGAAAAGGCAAAUUUCAAGGAACCGGUUGAGCCAUCCGCAGUAGCAGAGCCUGUAGGGAUAUUUGGCAGAUUGCGGAGAUGUAUCAAGUGUUGAUAAUUGGAUGUUGCUCAUAACACAGAAGGAUGAACCUCUGAAUUGCUUCCAGAGCCAAAAUGGAGAUACAAAUCUGUUAACUGCGAGAUCAAGCAUGGGUAUUGUUUUACAUUCGAGGCGCCCUGAGAAGGAUACAUCAUAAUAGAACAUUUGAGUCGUGGAUAGGCUUAUUGGAACUAAAGCAGAAUACAGAAAAGAAAACAGAAGCUAGGCAAUUUUCCUGUAGAAGUAGUAUUACCGACAGGUCGAAAGGCGGCCUUUUCGGGGGAUCUAAACAAGCAGGCGAUAGGUCGGCACUGCAAACAAGUGAUUAGCUCUUGGAACUGAUAAGCCAAACCUUUCGCUCAUGUCGAUAUCGCUCGGCACCAUGCCCUUGGGUAGUUCCCACUUGAAGCAAUGCGCUAAUUGAGCCAGAACAAACUUCACUUGUAUCAGGCCUAACUGAAUUCCAGGGCACCCCCUACGUCCUGAACCGAAAGGAAGCAGCUCGAAAUGAUGCCCUUUCACGUCUAUACCAUUGUCGGCGAAUCUCUCGGGUACAAACUCUUCGGCGUUUUCCGACCACACACUUGGAUCUCGCCCGAUUGCCCAUAUGUUCACGAUGAUUUGCGAUUUCUUUGGUAUGAAGCGUUCGUUUAUGAUGGCAUCCUCCAUGGAUUCUCGGGGAACUAGUAAUGGUAUAACUGGAUGGAGUCUCAUGCUCUCCUUCGCCACCAUGUCCAGGUAAUUUAGCUUCGAUAGAUCUGACUCCUCAACCAUUCUAGUCAAGCCAACAACGGUUUCCAGCUCUUCUUGAAGGCGUGCCAUUGCCUGCGGAUUCCUCAUGAGUUCAGAAAAUGCCCAGUCGAUGGAGGUUGAUGAUGUCUCGAAGGAACCCGAAAUCAUGUCCAGUAUUAUGGCUUUUAUAUUUGUUCGAUCGAUGAUAUACUUUUCUUCACGAGGGUCUAUGGGUUGGUUCAUCAUCGAAAGCAAUAUGUCGAUGAAGUCCUCCUGAUGUUCGCUGUCAUAAUAAGCGGCAUCUCGCACAUGGUCAUCAAUAAUCUUCUCUAAGAGUUUGUCGACUGACCUUCUGACUGCCUUGAACCGCCGUGUCGACCCCUAAGAACAACAAACUUCAUUAGUACCUCGCUCAAGCUUGCCACAGAAGAUAGACCAGAAAGUCGAUGGAUCACUAGUAGCAGAGCAUGAGUGUUCCAUCAUUGAUCAUGUAAGAUUUUGUAUGAUCACUGUCGACUGUUCUAAAAGCUCAAGCUGUUAGACGAAUAUGUAGUUUAAUAUUUAAUUAUUACAACUUUUUCCCUCGGGCUUAAUUUGA